UUAAGCGAUGGAGUGACGCAGAAGGGUAGUCUGUGCGUGGCGAUGGUUGUCCACGUUCAAGGGUGUAGGGCGAGGUGUAGGCAAAUCCGCACCUCACGUGCCUGAGACCUGAUGAGGAGCCUCACGGCGAAGCAGAUGAUCCCAUGCUGCCUAGAAAACCUUCUAGCGAGGUUCGAGCCGCCCGUACCCCAAACCGACUCAGGUGGUUAGGUAGAGAAUACCAAGGCGAUCGAGUGAAUCGUGGUUAAGGAAUUCGGCAAAAUACCCCCGUAACUUCGGGAGAAGGGGGGCCCUGAUCGUGACGGGACUUGCUCCCCGAGCGUGAUCGGCCGCAGAGACCAGGGAGAAGCGACUGUUUACUAAAAACACAGGUCCGUGCCAAGUCGCAAGACGAUGUAUACGGACUGACGCCUGCCCGGUGCUGGAACGUUAAGGGGACCGGUUAGCCUCACGGCGAAGCUGAGAACUUAAGCGCCAGUAAACGGCGGUGGUAACUAUAACCAUCCUAAGGUAGCGAAAUUCCUUGUCGGGUAAGUUCCGACCUGCACGAAUGGCGUAACGACUUCUCCACUGUCUCAACCACGAACUCGGCGAAAUUGCACUACGAGUAAAGAUGCUCGUUACGCGCAGCAGGACGGAAAGACCCCGGGACCUUCACUACAGCUUGGUAUUGGUGUUUGGUACGGCUUGUGUAGGAUAGGUGGGAGGCUAUGAAGCGGGCACGCCAGUGUCCGUGGAGCCAACGUUGAAAUACCACUCUGGUCGUGCUAGAUAUCUAACCUCGGUCCGUAAUCCGGAUCAGGGACAGUGCCUGGUGGGUAGUUUAACUGGGGCGGUUGCCUCCUAAAAGGUAACGGAGGCGCCCAAAGGUUCCCUCAGCCUGGUUGGCAAUCAGGUGUCGAGUGUAAGUGCACAAGGGAGCUUGACUGUGAGACAGACAUGUCGAGCAGGGACGAAAGUCGGGACUAGUGAUCCGGCGGUGGCUUGUGGAAGCGCCGUCGCUCAACGGAUAAAAGGUACCCCGGGGAUAACAGGCUGAUCUUGCCCAAGAGUCCAUAUCGACGGCAUGGUUUGGCACCUCGAUGUCGGCUCGUCGCAUCCUGGGGCUGGAGUAGGUCCCAAGGGUUGGGCUGUUCGCCCAUUAAAGCGGUACGCGAGCUGGGUUUAGAACGUCGUGAGACAGUUCGGUCCCUAUCCGCUGCGCGCGUAGGAAACUUGAGAAGGGCUGUCCCUAGUACGAGAGGACCGGGAUGGACGAACCUCUGGUGUGUCAGUUGUCCUGCCAAGGGCACCGCUGAUUAGCUACGUUCGGAAGUGAUAACCGCUGAAAGCAUCUAAGCGGGAAGCACGCUUCAAGAUGAGGUUUCCAUGGGGUUUACCCCGAGAGGCUCCCAGCUAGAACACUGGGUUGAUAGGCCGGAUGUGGAAGUGCGGUAACACACGGAGCUGACCGGUACUAAUAAGCCGAUAACUUGACAU
RNAcentral lists this ribosomal RNA (1479 nucleotides) under metagenome. RNAcentral describes it as "bacterial LSU rRNA". It matches the Rfam family "Bacterial large subunit ribosomal RNA", at positions 1457 to 2925 of the family's 2925-position model. The record is from RNAcentral.